GCCAUAGCUCAAUGGCAUAACAACUGCCUUUCAUGCAGAAGACCUCAGGUUCAACCCCUGAUAUCUCCA
Non-coding RNA from Podarcis lilfordi (Lilford's wall lizard), 69 nucleotides. The record is from the annotation of a GenBank genome assembly. NCBI's taxonomy places the organism in Eukaryota, Metazoa, Chordata, Lepidosauria, Squamata, Lacertidae.